UACGGGGGGAGCAAGCGUUGUUCGGAUUUACUGGGCGUAAAGGGCGCGUAGGCGGUCAGCACAAGUCAGUUGUGAAAUCUCCGGGCUUAACUCGGAAAGGUCAACUGAUACUGUGCGACUAGAGUGCAGAAGGGGCAACUGGAAUUCUCGGUGUAGCGGUGAAAUGCGCAGAUAUCAGGAGGAACACCGGUGGCGAAGGCGGGUCUCUGGGCCGUAACUGACGCUGAGGAGCGAAAGCGUGGGGAGCAAACAGG
RNAcentral lists this ribosomal RNA (254 nucleotides) under uncultured bacterium. Its description in RNAcentral is "partial 16S ribosomal RNA". It matches the Rfam family "Bacterial small subunit ribosomal RNA", at positions 524 to 776 of the family's 1533-position model. The record is from RNAcentral.